RNAcentral lists this unclassified non-coding RNA (286 nucleotides) under Hevea brasiliensis (rubber tree). The record is from RNAcentral. Lineage: Eukaryota; Viridiplantae; Streptophyta; Magnoliopsida; Malpighiales; Euphorbiaceae.
UCUCGAGCAUGACAUAAAGAAGCUAAUGGGGAUCUCAUGAGACACCGAGAUACAAAGGAUUCAUCAGGGUUCGUGAAGAUAUCAAAGCAUACGAAGUUUAAUCUUGUUCUGUGCAUGUUGAUGUGCCUUAAUAGACUUGUGAAAUCUGCUUUACAGAAUAUGAUAAUUAUAUGGAGCAUAAAAUGUUGCUAGGUGCAGUUAUUCUAAACUCCUUGCCUUUUGUUGUGUGGUUGAAAAAUCAAGCAUUUAUACCUUUUGCUGUUUGCCUCUUGAGGUAUGGUUGAAG